AUGAUUAUCCAAACUUUUUAUGCAGGACUGAAUUUUUCUUCAAGAAAUCUUUUGGAUUCAGCUGCUGGAGGAACCUUUAUGUCUCUCACCUUGGGGGCUUCCACAAAGCUUCUUGAUAAUAUGAUGACAAACUACUCUGAAUGGCACACUGAAAGGUCUCCACAAGGUAAGAAGGUAAAUUCUGUUGAAGAAACUUCCUCUUUAAAUGCAAAGAUGGAUGCCAUUAUGUCUAUGCUUGCUAGUGGUAAGACUCAUGUUGAUCCAAAUAAUAUUCCCUUAGCCUCUUUGGUGGCUCAAGAGGAGCAUGUUGAUGUGAACUUCAUUAGAAAUAACAAUUUCAACAACAAUGCUUAUAGGGAUAAUUUUGGUAACAACAAUUAUAAGCCUUAUCCUCCCAACAAUGGCAACACUUAUGGUAACUCUUAUAGUAAUUCUUAUGGUAGAACUGGGAUGCCUAGUGAGGAAAGAAUUUUAGAAGUUGAAAAAGCUACUAAAGAAUAUAUGCAACAACAAUUUGAGCAAAACAAAUUAUUCACUAAAACUAUGGAAGAACAAUCUGCUAUGUUGAAGCAAAUUAGUCAUCAACUUGAAAAUUUAAAUAGGGAGAUUCCUGGGCUUCAAACUAAAAUCUCUAAGGCUGAAAGUAGUAUUUCAUCUUUGUCCCAAGCUCAAUCUUCCUUGAUUAAUAAGAUGACUGCUAAAACUGAAACCAUUGAUAGCAAUCCCUUUGCUACUUUGAAUGCCAUCCAAGUUAGAAUUGAUGAAAAUGUUAGGAUGAUGGCUGAAUUGCAUGUUAGGUGGGAAAGAGAAGAUGAAAUUGCUAGAAACAAAGAAAUAACCAAAGUUUGUACCAUUACCACCACUAGUAGUGCCGAAACUCCAAAUAUUAGUAAGCCUCCUAUCAUUAAUAAUAAAAGAUUUAGCAAAGAAAAGGCCUCUACUCCUCCUAAAAAACUGCCUAGGACCACUGAACUUGAUAUUGAUAGUGGUGCUGAAAUUUUUGGGAAAGUAGGAGACCAUAGCCCCCUGGUCUUUGAUAAUAAUGACUUUGACAUUAACCAUUGCACUAUCUCUGAAGUCAUUAAGUACCUACAAAAACUUGCUGAAAGUCCCCACACUAGUUCCCAAAAUUUGGUUUUUACAGAACACAUAACAAAUACUCUAGUAAAAAUUAGAGAAAGAAAGUUAAAACAAGAAGCCUCUAUCCCUAGGAAGAUAGAAGAUGGUUGGGAACCCAUCAUUAAAAUGAAAGUGGAUGACUUUGAUUGCAAUGCUUUAUGUGACCUUGGUGCUAGUAUCUCUGUGAUGCCUAAGAAAGUUUAUGAUAUGCUUGAUUUACCACGUGUGAAGAAUUGUUAUUUGGAUGUUGUUCCUCCUGAUAUUUCCAAGAAGAAACCUUUGGGGGGAGUUGUUGAUGUUCUUAUUGUUGUUAAUAACAACCUUGUCCCUGUUGAUUUUGUUGUUUUGGAUAUUGAAUGCAACUCUUCUUGUCCUAUUGUUUUGGGAAGACCUUUUCUGAGAACUGUUGGUGCUACCAUUGAUAUGAGAGAAGGGACUAUUAAAUAUAGUUUCCCACUUAAGAAAGGUAUUGAGCACUUUCCUAGAAAUAAAAAUAAGGUAGCCUAUGAAUCUAUCAUUAGAGCAAAUUAUGAUGUUGAUGCUCCUUCAUUUGAAAACACUUGA
This 1683-nucleotide ribosomal RNA is filed under the name Triticum aestivum (bread wheat). RNAcentral describes it as "partial small subunit ribosomal RNA". Lineage: Eukaryota; Viridiplantae; Streptophyta; Magnoliopsida; Poales; Poaceae. The record is from RNAcentral.